CUGGCGCUGGUGCGGCAGGCGUACCCCGAUCCGGCGCGGCGGGCCCGGGCGGUGGCCGCCUGGGCGGCGGGCGGUUCGGCGGCGGUGGCGCUGGG
This 95-nucleotide transfer RNA is filed under the name Streptomyces galbus. RNAcentral's name for it is "tRNA-Ala". Lineage: Bacteria; Bacillati; Actinomycetota; Actinomycetes; Kitasatosporales; Streptomycetaceae. The record is from RNAcentral.